RNAcentral lists this ribosomal RNA (255 nucleotides) under uncultured bacterium. RNAcentral's name for it is "partial 16S ribosomal RNA". It matches the Rfam family "Bacterial small subunit ribosomal RNA", at positions 524 to 776 of the family's 1533-position model. The record is from RNAcentral.
UACGGAGGGUGCAAGCGUUGUCCGGAAUCACUGGGCGUAAAGGGCGCGUAGGCGGCUCAUGAAGGCUGUGGUGAAAGUCCGGGGCUCAACCUCGGAUCGGCCGUGGCGACUCGUGGGCUGGAGCACUGUAGAGGCGGGUGGAAUUCCGGGUGUAGCGGUGGAAUGCGUAGAGAUCCGGAAGAACACCAGUGGCGAAGGCGGCCCGCUGGGCAGUUUUGCUGACACUGAGGCGCGACAGCGUGGGGAGCAAACAGG